This 300-nucleotide unclassified non-coding RNA is filed under the name Hevea brasiliensis (rubber tree). The record is from RNAcentral. Lineage: Eukaryota; Viridiplantae; Streptophyta; Magnoliopsida; Malpighiales; Euphorbiaceae.
GAAACGCCAAUAGGCGUGCCCUGAAAGUUUCCACCGUGAAGAGCGAUGUCGCGAGCGACAUCGAUGAGUGGGUUGUCGUUGACGGAGUUGAUCUCGCGCUCGAUGGCGUGGGUGGCAGCACGGAUAACCUCGAUUUGAGGCCCAAGCCAUUGUGGGGAUGUUCGGAGGGCGUAGCGGUCUUGCUUUGGCUUGGUCAAAGGCUCACGCUCAUGGCGGAGGCGAGCUUCGCGCAUGUAGUCGCUGCCUUCGAGGAGGUACUCCAUAAUGGCAGCGGAUUCGAUCUGGCCGGGGUGGUGCUUG